RNAcentral lists this ribosomal RNA (491 nucleotides) under uncultured bacterium. Its description in RNAcentral is "partial 16S ribosomal RNA". It matches the Rfam family "Bacterial small subunit ribosomal RNA", at positions 29 to 507 of the family's 1533-position model. The record is from RNAcentral.
AGUGAACGCUGGCGGUAGGCCUAACACAUGCCAGUCGAACGGCAGCACAGUAAGAGCUUGCUCUUACGGGUGGCGAGUGGCGGACGGGUGAGGAAUACAUCGGAAUCUACUUUUUCGUGGGGGAUAACGUAGGGAAACUUACGCUAAUACCGCAUACGACCUACGGGUGAAAGCAGGGAUCUUCGGACCUUGCGCGAUUGAAUGAGCCGAUGUCGGAUUAGCUAGUUGGCGGGGUAAAGGCCCACCAAGGCGACGAUCCGUAGCUGGUCUGAGAGGAUGAUCAGCCACACUGGAACUGAGAUACGGUCCAGACUCCUACGGGAGGCAGCAGUGGGGAAUAUUGGACAAUGGGCGCAAGCCUGAUCCAGCCAUACCGCGUGGGUGAAGAAGGCCUUCGGGUUGUAAAGCCCUUUUGUUGGGAAAGAAAAGCAGCAGGUUAAUACCCCGCUGUUCUGACGGUACCCAAAGAAUAAGCACCGGCUAACUUCGUG